This 492-nucleotide ribosomal RNA is filed under the name uncultured bacterium. RNAcentral's name for it is "partial 16S ribosomal RNA". It matches the Rfam family "Bacterial small subunit ribosomal RNA", at positions 29 to 507 of the family's 1533-position model. The record is from RNAcentral.
AGUGAACGCUGGCGGUAGGCCUAACACAUGCAAGUCGAACGGCAGCACAGUAAGAGCUUGCUCUUACGGGUGGCGAGUGGCGGACGGGUGAGGAAUACAUCGGAAUCUACUUUUUCGUGGGGGAUAACGUAGGGAAACUUACGCUAAUACCGCAUACGACCUACGGGUGAAAGCAGGGGAUCUUCGGACCUUGCGCGAUUGAAUGAGCCGAUGUCGGAUUAGCUAGUUGGUGGGGUAAAGGCCCACCAAGGCGACGAUCCGUAGCUGGUCUGAGAGGAUGAUCGGCCACACUGGAACUGAGACACGGUCCAGACUCCUACGGGAGGCAGCAGUGGGGAAUAUUGGACAAUGGGCGCAAGCCUGAUCCAGCCAUACCGCGUGGGUGAAGAAGGCCUUCGGGUUGUAAAGCCCUUUUGUUGGGAAAGAAAAGCAGCAGGUUAAUACGCCGCUGUUCUGACGGUACCCAAAGAAUAAGCACCGGCUAACUUCGUG